UACGUAGGGUGCAAGCGUUGUCCGGAAUUAUUGGGCGUAAAGAGCUCGUAGGCGGUCAGUCGCGUCUGCUGUGAAAACACGGGGCUUAACCCCGUGCCUGCUUCCGAUACGGGCAGACUAGAGGUAUGCAGGGGAGAACGGAAUUCCUGGUGUAGCGGUGAAAUGCGCAGAUAUCAGGAGGAACACCGGUGGCGAAGGCGGUUCUCUGGGCAUUACCUGACGCUGAGGAGCGAAAGUGUGGGGAGCGAACAGG
RNAcentral lists this ribosomal RNA (253 nucleotides) under uncultured bacterium. RNAcentral's name for it is "partial 16S ribosomal RNA". It matches the Rfam family "Bacterial small subunit ribosomal RNA", at positions 524 to 776 of the family's 1533-position model. The record is from RNAcentral.